CCCUAUGGGGUGCACCAGUUGAGCCAGUAAAAUCUUUUGAGGAUAUUCCUCCUAAAGUCAAAUUAACUCAGGAGUCUCCAGAGGUUAUAGUACAGAAGCAAGAGUUAUUAGAUGGAGUUGGUAAACAAGUUGAAGAGCGGACUACACCUAAAGUAGAUUUCCAAUCUCUUGCUGAGUCUAUAGAUCCAGCCAUAAGAUAUAUUGAAAGUAAACCUGGAAUUCCUGGUGUUAUUGAUGAUCAGAAUAUUUUUAGUACUAAAAUUCCUGGCAGUGAUAAGGAGACAUCUUUUAAUGUAAAUGGUAAAGUGACUGCUGAGAAAGUUAAGGCUGCUAGGGAUAAAAUACUAGAAGGAUAUAAACCUAAAGAGGAGAUAGUUGAAGAUGGCCAAGUGCAGACGGAAGGGCGGGAAGCCUCCCAAGAAGUAACUGAUGUAGAAUCUACAACUCUAUAUAGGGGAGAGC
RNAcentral lists this ribosomal RNA (462 nucleotides) under uncultured prokaryote. Its description in RNAcentral is "partial 16S ribosomal RNA". The record is from RNAcentral.